GACAGCCAGGAUGUUGGCUUAGAAGCAGCCAUCAUUUAAAGAAAGCGUAAUAGCUCACUGGUCGAGUCGGCCUGCGCGGAAGAUGUAACGGGGCUAAACCAUGCACCGAAGCUGCGGCAGCGACGCUUAUGCGUUGUUGGGUAGGGGAGCGUUCUGUAAGCCUGCGAAGGUGGCCUGUGAGGGUUGCUGGAGGUAUCAGAAGUGCGAAUGCUGACAUAAGUAACGAUAAAGCGGGUGAAAAGCCCGCUCGCCGGAAGACCAAGGGUUCCUGUCCAACGUUAAUCGGGGCAGG
This 292-nucleotide ribosomal RNA is filed under the name Salmonella enterica subsp. enterica serovar Heidelberg. RNAcentral describes it as "partial 23S ribosomal RNA". It matches the Rfam family "Bacterial large subunit ribosomal RNA", at positions 1088 to 1378 of the family's 2925-position model. The record is from RNAcentral. Lineage: Bacteria; Pseudomonadati; Pseudomonadota; Gammaproteobacteria; Enterobacterales; Enterobacteriaceae.